RNAcentral lists this non-coding RNA (44 nucleotides) under Schistosoma bovis. RNAcentral also lists the same sequence under 2 other names. The record is from RNAcentral. Lineage: Eukaryota; Metazoa; Platyhelminthes; Trematoda; Strigeidida; Schistosomatidae.
GCCAGCUGAUGAAUCCGAAAUAAGACGAAACGCGCGUCCUUGAU